Molecule: ribosomal RNA, 253 nt
Filed under: uncultured bacterium
Lineage: Bacteria
Description: partial 16S ribosomal RNA
Rfam family: Archaeal small subunit ribosomal RNA
Source: RNAcentral
UACCAGCACCCCGAGUGGUCGGGACGAUUAUUGGGCCUAAAGCAUCCGUAGCCGGUUCUACAAGUCUUCCGUUAAAUCCACCUGCUCAACAGUUGGGCUGCGGAGGAUACUAUAGAGCUAGGGGGCGGGAGAGGCAAGCGGUACUUAGUGGGUAGGGGUAAAAUCCGUUGAUCCAUUGAAGACCACCAGUGGCGAAGGCGGCUUGCCAGAACGCACUCGACGGUGAGGGAUGAAAGCUGGGGGAGCAAACCGG